Molecule: ribosomal RNA, 477 nt
Filed under: bacterium BCM40
Lineage: Bacteria
Description: bacterial SSU rRNA
Rfam family: Bacterial small subunit ribosomal RNA
Source: RNAcentral
CAAGUCGAGCGGAACGAGUUAACUGAACCUUCGGGGGACGUUAACGGCGUCGAGCGGCGGACGGGUGAGUAAUGCCUGGGAAAUUGCCCUGAUGUGGGGGAUAACCAUUGGAAACGAUGGCUAAUACCGCAUAAUAGCUUCGGCUCAAAGAGGGGGACCUUCGGGCCUCUCGCGUCAGGAUAUGCCCAGGUGGGAUUAGCUAGUUGGUGAGGUAAUGGCUCACCAAGGCGACGAUCCCUAGCUGGUCUGAGAGGAUGAUCAGCCACACUGGAACUGAGACACGGUCCAGACUCCUACGGGAGGCAGCAGUGGGGAAUAUUGCACAAUGGGCGCAAGCCUGAUGCAGCCAUGCCGCGUGUGUGAAGAAGGCCUUCGGGUUGUAAAGCACUUUCAGCAGUGAGGAAGGUGGUGUCGUUAAUAGCGGCAUCAUUUGACGUUAGCUGCAGAAGAAGCACCGGCUAACUCCGUGCCAGCAGC